Molecule: ribosomal RNA, 459 nt
Filed under: uncultured bacterium
Lineage: Bacteria
Description: partial 16S ribosomal RNA
Rfam family: Bacterial small subunit ribosomal RNA
Source: RNAcentral
CCUACGGGUGGCAGCAGUAGGGAAUAUUGCUCAAUGGGGGAAACCCUGAAGCAGCAACGCCGCGUGAGGGAAGAAGGUACAGCGUAUCGUAAACCUCUUUUGUCAGGGAACAAAGGCGGGGACUAGUCCCCGGAUGAGGGUACCUGAAGAAAAAGCAUCGGCUAACUCCGUGCCAGCAGCCGCGGUAAUACGGAGGAUGCGAGCGUUAUCCGGAUUUAUUGGGUUUAAAGGGUGCGCAGGCGGCCUGUUAAGUCAGCGGUAAAAGCCCGGGGCUCAACCCCGGCGAGCCGUUGAAACUGGCGGGCUGGAGUUGGAGAGAAGUACGCGGAAUGCGCGGUGUAGCGGUGAAAUGCUUAGAGAUCAUACAGAACACCGAUUGCGAAGGCAGCUUACCAAGCUACUUCUGACGUUGAGGCACGAAAGCGUGGGGAGCAAACAGGAUUAGAUACCCCAGUAGUC